Molecule: long non-coding RNA, 465 nt
Organism: Sinocyclocheilus grahami
Lineage: Eukaryota; Metazoa; Chordata; Actinopteri; Cypriniformes; Cyprinidae
Exons: 3
Source: RefSeq, a predicted model, not a curated record
UUAUUUAUUUUUCUAUAAUUAUGUACAUUGUUGGAAUCUCCCAAAGCAGCUCAGCGCCAUCUGUUGACAGCCACAGGUCAAACAGAGAAAGUGGCGUACAUAGGGACAAUAUAGAGCCAAGUUCAUUCAUCAUGUCAAGUUAUUACAAAAGUCAUUUACAAAUGAUUCACGUCUCAUCUGGAUCUCUGUAACUACUCGUAUUUGGAUAAUACGAAUGCUUGUUAUGUGAGUGACCCAGCAGCAGUGCUAUGAGAGCUAGCAGCAUGCCGCUCCUUUAAUGACCUAUGAGAGCUGUGGACCCAGGCCAUGCAUGGGGAACCUGAGAACCUGCUGAGCAACUUCUGUUGAUCUAAGCCAGCAGGUGAGCUGCAUCAAUUCACAGGAGUCCGUCAUAGACCUCCACAGCCUGAGAAACUUAACCUCCCGAUGAAGACUGCAAUGUCCUGACCUAAAACCAGAGAUGUG